CCAUGCCGCGUGCGGGAAGAAGGCCUUCGGGUUGUAAACCGCUUUUGUCAGGGAGAAAAGGUUCUGGCUAAUACCUGGGACUCAUGACGGUACCUGAAGAUAAGCACCGGCUAACUACGUGCCAGCAGCCGCGGUAAUACGUAGGGUGCAAGCGUUAAUCGGAAUUACUGGGCGUAAAGCGUGCGCAGGCGGUUAUGCAAGACAGAGGUGAAAUCCCCGGGCUCAACCUGGGAACUGCCUUUGUGACUGCAUGGCUAGAGUACGGUAGAGGGGGAUGGAAUUCCGCGUGUAGCAGUGAAAUGCGUAGAUAUGCGGAGGAACACCGAUGGCGAAGGCAAUCCCCUGGACCUGUACUGACGCUCAUGCACGAAAGCGUGGGGAGCAAACAGGAUUAGAUACCCUGGUAGUCCACGCCCUAAACGAUGUCAACUGGUUGUUGGGAGGGUUUCUUCUCAGUAACGUAGCUAACGCGUGAAGUUGACCGCCUGGGGAGUACGGCCGCAAGGUUG
This 509-nucleotide ribosomal RNA is filed under the name uncultured Pseudomonadota bacterium. RNAcentral's name for it is "bacterial SSU rRNA". It matches the Rfam family "Bacterial small subunit ribosomal RNA", at positions 392 to 896 of the family's 1533-position model. Lineage: Bacteria; Pseudomonadati; Pseudomonadota. The record is from RNAcentral.